Long non-coding RNA from Rhinopithecus roxellana (golden snub-nosed monkey), 4133 nucleotides. RefSeq lists it as uncharacterized. The transcript is spliced from 3 exons. The record is from RefSeq and is a predicted model, not a curated record. Lineage: Eukaryota; Metazoa; Chordata; Mammalia; Primates; Cercopithecidae.
CAAGACUCCAUCUCAAAAGAAAAAAAAAAAGAGCCGGGUUUGGUGGCUCACGCAUGUAAUCCCAGCACUUUAGGAGGCUGAGGCGGGCGGAUCACCUGAAGUCAGGAGUUCGAGACCAGGCUAGCCAACCUGGGGAGACCCAGUCUAAAAAUACAAAAAAUUAGCCAGGUGUGGUGGUGCACGCCUGUAAUCCCAGCUACUUAGGAGGCCAAGGCAGGAAAAUAGCUUGAACCUGGCAGGCAGAAGUUGCAGUGAGCCGAGAUCAUGCCACUGCACUCCAGCCUGGGCAACAGAGUGACACUCGAAAGAAAAGAAAAGAAAAGAAGGAGAAAGAAAAAGAAAAAGAGCCUGCUGCCAUGGGAGGUGAGUAGUAAGUUCCCCGUUGCUGGAGGAGUACAAGCACUGCUACUCCAAGGAUCACUUGGCGGGUAAUAGAGGAGCUUGAAUUCAAUAACCUUCAUUUAUUUGUACAUCCCACAAAUGUUUGUGGAGCACCUACUGUGUGCCAGGCACUGUCCCAGACACUGGUAUAACAAGGCAGAAUCCUUGCCUGCAUAGGACUUACAUCCCUGCAGUCCUGAGCACAUGCUGUUCCAGAGGGGGCAGAGCAGGCAGUGGAGGGCUGGGCUGGGCUGGGCAGAGGGCAAUCCAGGGAGGCUUCUCUGAGGACGGUGCUCGAGUGUUGGUAGCCAGGCCGGGAACAGGACACACACCUGAUAAUGCAGUGAGCUCACUUCAUGUCUGCCCCACACAGAACUGCGAGCUCCUUGUGGGCCAGACCGUGCACCUGCUCAGUGCCCAGCACACAAUAGAUGCAUAAUAACUGCUAGUUCACCUGAAGUUAACUGAUAAAAGGCCCUCUGGGUCUCAGCAUCAGCAGGUGCAAAUGUCCGGAGGCCUCGAGAGCUAUGAGAACAUUGGUGCCUCCAGGAGAUGCAGGAGUACCUGGAGAGGCCACAUCACAAGCCAGGAGCAUGGCGAGCUGGGCUCUGACUCACUGGCCCCCUGAGUCUCUCCAGGGCAUCUCUGCUCACCUUCCUGCCAUUCUGCCGCUCCUUGCUCUGGUCAGCAGGGGGCUCCCACCACACGUGGAUAAGAGGUUUCAACACCACAGCCAGACUGGGUCCCAGGACUGACCGGCUGUCCCUUGCAGGGAUGGGAUCUCUGUCCACAGUAGAGCCCUGGCCUGGACAUCCUAAAGGGGGAGGCACCUGAUCUACCAGGGCCCAAGGGCUCGAACAGCCCAGUAGACACCCAUGGACACAAACAAGCAUGGGCCUCCCUGCCACCCGUGCUGGGCACAGUCACCCCGCUGGGGCUGGCAUUGGGCCUGGCACUGGGAGACUCUCGUACUCUGGCUUUCUGGCUGUGGGGCCGCGAACGAGUUGCUUACCCUCUCUGGAUGGGAUUUUCCUCCCUGAGGGGUUGGGCCAGCACAGCCUCCUCUGCCCAAGAUCCACCAACCACCCUCCAGGAGAAAAGCCAGACUCCGCAGGGCCUCGCUGGGGAGAGCAAGCUCUUCCCGUGGCAGUUCCAGGCCAGGCGCUGGGCUCUGGAGAAACGUGGGCGAAUCUGGUCUGCAGGCAGGGCCAGCGGAGGAGGAAGAAAUGACCUUGCGGUGAGGAGUGACAGUAAGGAUGAGGGAAGGGGGGCUGUGGGGCCUGGGGAGACCAAAGCACAGAGACCCCACCCAGGAGUCUGGCAUAUUUGAGAAGCGGUGAAUUCUUUGCUGGACCUGGAGGAGGCCUGCCUGGAAUAGCGGGACUUGGAAUAGAACGGAAGCGGAGCCACACUGGUCAGCCUGCAUGGGUGACUUUACCAGGACGAUGACGGGGAGCCAGGGAAGGGUUCAAAGCAGGAGAGAGACUCUGCUGGAGGCCAUCUGGGGAUAGCCCCUCAGAUUGACCACUCAAGGGAUGGAUUAAGGAGGCUAGGUGGGCCACAGGGGGCUGGAGAAGGUGAGGGAGGAACAGAGCGGUUGCUGAACAGGAGGAAAGAGGCUUGAAGGGCCUCCGGGACUAAGACUUGUGGGAGGUGACAGCAUUCCCCAAAACAGCCCAGCAAAGGGCAGGUGGGGGGAAGGAGUUGGGAAGAGGGGAGGUGAACAGGUCACACUGUGUCAGAGGGGCAGCAGGGCCUCCCCAUGGACACCUUCAGCUGCGAGUUAGACAAGCGCCCUGGGCUCAGCAGACAGCCCUUCCCACCUCCUCUUCCGCCCCCUCUUAUCUCCUCCUCCUCUCCCCCCUCCCACCUCUCCCACUUGCCCCUCCCUCCCCUGUCUACCCGAUUCCACCCCCUCCCACUUCUUGGCCAUUUAGUCUUGGCUCAGUGGUGUGUACUGGCAGGCACCUGGGUCCUGGGGUCCACCUGCAGGCCUGGGUUCCAAUCCAAGUGUGUGGGUUCUUAACAGCACGUGACCCUCAAAAGUAACUCACAAAGACCCAGGUUUGCCCUGGACACCCCUGCCCACCCCCACCAUGCCCAGCAUCAAUAUGUCAUGGCCAAAGCCGCCAACCAGGGAGCACUCACUAAGGCCAGCGCCUCCCGCUACAUGCUGUCUUCUAACCUUCCACACUCCCUAAGCAGGCGUGACUAUCCUCACUUUACAGAGAAGGGCCGCAGGCUCGAUCUGGCCCAGCCGAGAAGGACCUGAGCCGGCAUGGAACCAGCACUAUCUGAUUUGUUCUGAUUUGAAACCUGUGUCAGGGCGGCCACAAACUCAUCAUCCAUAAUAGGCCCUUCCUAUGAGUGCUAGAAUCUGGAUUUCAGGGGAUGCCAGGACAACAGGCACAAACCAGGAUUGCUCCAGGCACCCCAAGACAUAUGUCUGAUAUGACCCUAGAUAUCAGACAUAUGCACAAGGCGCAGCAAGGAACUGGGGUCACUCUGGGUGGUCCUGUGGACUGGAAGAGUUGUGCCCCGUGGCUGCUUUAUCCUGGAGAAGGAAAGGACAGCUGUUUCCUCCGGCUCAGCCUCUACCACUACCAAUUCACCCAGAGAACUUUUCUCCAUGGUGAGUCUCCCCAAGUCCUACCCCAAAGUGGCACUGUGUGGACUGACACUAAAUUGGGUAAACCUGGUCUACUGCAUGCCCUCAGCAGAUAUUAGCGGUCACUGUUACGUUCUUGAUGGAGUCUCCCUUGAGAGGGCUGAGAUCAAGGACUCUGAACAGGACAGAAGCAUGAAAGGUCCCUCCAGCCCCAUCCAGAAAUGCCCUGGCCUAUAAAAGCAUCCUUCCUGUUCUUUCAUGAGGAAACCAAAGUUCACAGACAUUCAGGGACAAGCCCUAAAUCACCCAGCACAGAGGCUCCAUGAAGAAGGCCGAGGCAAAAGGUGCUGGCAUUUGUAGAACAUACUUCAUCUCAUCCUCCCAGGAGCCCACAAGGUAAACAGGAUUAUUCCCAUUUAACAGACGAGGAUGUGGAGGCUCAGGAGAGCUUGUGACUUGCCCAGAGUCACACAGCCAGGAACAGGCAUCUGAUCCGAUUGUUAAGGCCAGGAGGACCCACUGGCCGGAAGGCUCCAGCAGAAGGGGAAGAUUAAUUCUGUGACCUUUCCAGUCCCUUUGAUCCUUUGAAGCUAAAGCUUAAUUCUUCUCUUUCUCCUUCCCCCAAGGGAUUUUUAGUUCAUAAAUAAGAGCCCAGAGGGGACCAACCUUUGAUCCAAAGAAAUGAUUUUUUAAGAAAACAUCCCCUAUUUAAAAAUUAAUAAAACAUGCUCAUUGCAGAAAAUUGGAAAGCGCAAUGAAGAGGAAGAAAAAUCUUAGACCAAAAAACGAAUGAGAUCAUGUCCUCUGUUGCAACAUGGCUAGAGCUGGAGGCCAUUAUCCUAAGCAAACAAACAUAGACCGGAGCAGAAAACCAAAUACCGCAUGUUCUCACGUAUAAGUGGAAUCUAAACAAUGACGACACAUGAAUACCAGGAGAGAGACAACAGACAUUGGGGCCUUCUGGAGGGUGGAGAGUGGGAGGAGGGAGAGGAUUAGAAAAAAAUACCUGGUGGGUACUAUGCCUAUUACCUGGGUGACAAAAUCGUCUGUAUACCAAACUCACAUGGCAGUUGAUCUAUAUAAGAAACCUGCAGAUGUAUCCCAAACCUAAAAGUUUAAAAACAAAUAAACAAAAGAAAAAACU